RNAcentral lists this ribosomal RNA (468 nucleotides) under uncultured bacterium. RNAcentral's name for it is "partial 16S ribosomal RNA". It matches the Rfam family "Bacterial small subunit ribosomal RNA", at positions 28 to 507 of the family's 1533-position model. The record is from RNAcentral.
GACGAACGCUGGCGGCGUGCUUAACACAUGCAAGUCGAACGGAAAGGCCCUGCUUUUGUGGGGUGCUCGAGUGGCGAACGGGUGAGUAAAACGUGAGUAAACUGCCCUUGACUUUGGGAUAACUUCAGGAAACUGGGGCUAAUACCGGAUAGGAGCUCCUGCUGCAUGGUGGGGGUUGGAAAGUUUCGGCGGUUGGGGAUGGACUCGCGGCUUAUCAGCUUGUUGGUGGGGUAGUGGCUUACCAAGGCUGUGACGGGUAGCCGGCCUGAGAGGUUGAACGGCGACAUUGGGACUGAGAUACGGAGCAGACUCCUACGGGAGGCAGUAGUGGGGAAUAUUGCACAAUGGGCGGAAGUCUGAUGCAGCAACGCUGCGUGCGUGAUGACGUCCUUCGGGUUGUAAACCGCUUUGGCCUGUGACGAAGCGUGAGUGACGGUAAUGGGUAAAGAAGCACCGGCUAACUACGUG